CGAACGCUGGCGGCGUGCUUAACACAUGCAAGUCGAACGCGAAAGGGACUUCGGUCCUGAGUAAAGUGGCGCACGGGUGAGUAACGCGUAGAUAACCUGUCUUCAUGUCUGGAAUAAUACGCCGGAAGGGGUACUAAUACCGGAUAUUCUUGCUUUUCAUAAGUUAUGCAAGCAAAGGUGGCCUCUGCAUAUGCUACUGCAUGAAGAGGGGUCUGCGUACCAUUAGCUAGUAGGUGGGGUAAUGGCCUACCUAGGCGACGAUGGUUAGCGGGUCUGAGAGGAUGAUCCGCCACACUGGCACUGGAACACGGGCCAGACUCCUACGGGAGGCAGCAGUGAGGAAUAUUGCGCAAUGGGGGAAACCCUGACGCAGCGACGCCGCGUGAGUGAAGGAAGGCCUUCGGGUCGUAAAGCUCUGUCAAGAGGAAAGAAGUGUACAAUGGCUAAUACCUGUUGUAUUUGACGGUACCUCUAAAGGAAGCACCGGCUAACUCCGUGCCAGCCGCAGC
This 509-nucleotide ribosomal RNA is filed under the name uncultured bacterium. RNAcentral describes it as "bacterial SSU rRNA". It matches the Rfam family "Bacterial small subunit ribosomal RNA", at positions 30 to 518 of the family's 1533-position model. The record is from RNAcentral.